GAACUAUGUGUGCUGCAUCAGAGGGCUCAGCCGCAGCCUCCCGCCGGAGAUUGGUGUAAAUACAACUAGGAACGGAGAUGCUUUUGCUCUUGUUCCCCCCAAGAGGCCUUCUCUAUAUUCAGCAUACCUCUCUAUACAUUAAGAGACGCUGUCCAGGAUGGUGGAGAAAUGAAAGCUGAAGGUUAAAAGCUUCAACACGAAGCCUGGGAAAACCCC
This 216-nucleotide long non-coding RNA is filed under the name Chinchilla lanigera (long-tailed chinchilla). Its description in RNAcentral is "lncRNA (ENSCLAG00000025664.1)". Lineage: Eukaryota; Metazoa; Chordata; Mammalia; Rodentia; Chinchillidae. The record is from RNAcentral.